GAAAGAACGUAGCGAAAUGCGAUAAGUAGUGUGAAUUGCAGAAUUCAGUGAAUCAUCGAAUCUUUGAACGCACAUUGCGCCCCUUGGUAUCCCGAGGGGCAUGCCUGUUCGAGCGUCAUUUCACCACUCAAGCCUGGCUUGGUGUUGGGCGACGUCCCCUUUGGGGACGCGCCUCGAAACGCUCGGCGGCGUGGCACCGGCUUUAAGCGUAGCAGAAUCUUUCGCUUUGGAAGUCGGGGCCCCGUCUGCCGGAAGACCUACUCGCAAGGUUGACCUCGGAUCAGGCAGGGAUACCCGCUGAACUUAAGCAUAUCAAUAAGCGGAGGA
RNAcentral lists this unclassified non-coding RNA (327 nucleotides) under soil metagenome. Its description in RNAcentral is "partial contains 5.8S ribosomal RNA, internal transcribed spacer 2, and large subunit ribosomal RNA". The stretch from base 3 to 118 matches the Rfam family "5.8S ribosomal RNA", at positions 39 to 154 of the family's 154-position model. The record is from RNAcentral.